RNAcentral lists this transfer RNA (63 nucleotides) under Lamprigera yunnana. RNAcentral describes it as "tRNA-Ile". The record is from RNAcentral. Lineage: Eukaryota; Metazoa; Arthropoda; Insecta; Coleoptera; Lampyridae.
AAUGAAGUGCCUGACAAAAAGGAUUAUUUCGAUAAAAUAAAUUAUGUAAACUUACCUUCAUUG